Molecule: ribosomal RNA, 1315 nt
Filed under: Chordomyces sp.
Lineage: Eukaryota; Fungi; Ascomycota; Sordariomycetes; Glomerellales; Plectosphaerellaceae
Description: SSU rRNA
Rfam family: Eukaryotic small subunit ribosomal RNA
Source: RNAcentral
AUUACAAAGCGAAACUGCGAAUGGCUCAUUAUAUAAGUUAUCGUUUAUUUGAUAGUACCUUACUACAUGGAUAACCGUGGUAAUUCUAGAGCUAAUACAUGCUGAAAAUCCCGACUUCGGAAGGGAUGUAUUUAUUAGAUACAAAACCAAUGCCCUUCGGGGCUCUCUUGGUGAUUCAUGAUAACUUCUCGAAUCGCACGGCCCCGCGCCGGCGAUGGUUCAUUCAAAUUUCUUCCCUAUCAACUUUCGAUGCUACGGUAUUGUCCUAGCAUGGUUGCAACGGGUGACGGAGGGUUAGGGCUCGACCCCGGAGAAGGAGCCUGAGAAACGGCUACUACAUCCAAGGAAGGCAGCAGGCGCGCAAAUUACCCAAUCCCGAUACGGGGAGGUAGUGACGAUAAAUACCGAUACAGGGCUCUUUUGGGUCCUGUAAUUGGAAUGAGUACAAUUCAAAUCCCUUAACGAGGAACAAUUGGAGGGCAAGUCUGGUGCCAGCAGCCGCGGUAAUUCCAGCUCCAAUAGCGUAUAUUAAAGUUGUUGUGGUUAAAAAGCUCGUAGUAGAAGCUCGGGCUCCGGCCGACCGGUCCGCCUCACCGCGUGCACUGGUUCGGCCGGGCCUUCACCUUCUGCGGAACCGCAUCUCCUUCACUGGGGGUGUCGGGGAAACAGGACGUUUACUGUGAAAAAAUUAGAGUGCUCCAGGCAGGCCUAUGCUCGAAUAGAUUAGCAUGGAAUAAUGGAAUAGGACGUGUGGUCUUAUUUCGUUGGUUUCUAGGACCGCCGUAAUGAUUAAUAGGGACAGUCGGGGGCAUCAGUAUUCAAUCGUCAGAGGUGAAAUUCUUGGAUCGAUUGAAGACUAACUACUGCGAAAGCAUUUGCCAAGGAUGUUUUCAUUUAUCAGGAACGAAAGUUAGGGGAUCGAAGACGAUCAGAUACCGUCGUAGUCUUAACCAUAAACUAUGCCGACUAGGGAUCGGACGGUGUUAUUUCUUGACCCGUUCGGCACCUUACGAGAAAUCAAAGUGCUUGGGCUCCAGGGGGAGUAUGGUCGCAAGGCUGACACUUAAUGAAUUGACGGAAGGGCACCACCAGGGGGGGAGCCUGCGGCUUAAUUUGACUCAACACGGGGAAACUCACAGGUCCGGACCACCAGGAUGGAAGAUGGAAACCCUUUCCUGAUUUUGGGGUGGGGGGCAUGGCCGUUCUUAAGUGGGGGAGGGAUUGGCUGCUUAAUUCCAUACCAACGGAACCUUAACCGGGAAAAAAGCCGGAUUACCCCGGUGUACCCCGACUUCUUAAAGGAAUUUCGCCUCAC